RNA transcript from Erigeron canadensis, 1509 nucleotides. It is a transcript of the gene named E3 ubiquitin-protein ligase AIRP2-like, with no coding region annotated. The transcript has 6 exons. NCBI's taxonomy places the organism in Eukaryota, Viridiplantae, Streptophyta, Magnoliopsida, Asterales, Asteraceae. The record is from RefSeq and is a predicted model, not a curated record.
ACCCAACCUACAGUCCUAUUCAAAACUUCGUAUCCGUACAAUUUUUUCCUUAUAUAUAUGUAAAAGCAAUCAAGAAUGGCUUAUGAUUGAAAAUCUGGACUAUAUACGUACUGGUUAUAUGUAUAGAUACAGAGAUGUAUGUAGGGUCAAUGAAAAAAUCUUUUAAAGAUUCUUUAAAAGUUCUUGAAGCAGAUAUUCAACAUGCUAAUACUCUAGCAGCAGAUUUUAGAAGAGAAUACGACGGGGCAUGCGUACAGAUGCGAAUGUCUUAUAGCGUGGCGGCACAGUUCUUCCUUUUCUUUGUUCAAUGGUCCGACUGCCACCUUGCUGGUGCUCUGGGCUUGUUGAGGAUCCUAAUUUACAAGGUUUAUGUCGAUGGCACCACAACAAUGUCAACCCAAGAAAGAAAGGCAAGCAUUAGAGAAUUUUAUGGUAUUAUAUAUCCAUCUUUGAUGCAACUUCAAAAUGGAGUCACUAUUUUGGAAGAUAGAAAGCAUAAGAUAUGUGUUGAACGAUAUUCAAAACGAGAAGAUGACGAUGAAAGUGAAUGUCUGGAUCUUGAAGUUGAAUCAGAAGAUGAAUGUGGUAUUUGCAUGGAAGCUAAGGAGAAACUCAUAUUACCAAAAUGUAGCCAUGCGAUGUGCUCUAGAUGCUAUAAUGACUGGCGAACAAGGUCAAUGUCAUGUCCAUUUUGCCGUGUCAGCUUAGAAAGAAUUGACCCCUGUGAACUGUGGGUGUAUGUUGACAAGAAAGAAGUGCUUGAUAUGGCCACAUUAACAUGGGAAAAUCUGAAAAGAUUCUUCCUGUACAUUGAAAAGCUCCCUCUCGUUGCUCCCGACUCGCUCUUUGACACCUACUAUUCUCAUGUGAGGUAGGGAAAAAGCAGUUGCUUUGACAAAACAACAAACAUACAGGUUCAUUUUUCCGUUCUGUUUGUAGACACAAGUUUACAACAUCACCAAUACCUUCAAGAAACUUGCUACUCUUAAUAAUUUGAUCAUGAGAAGUGUGGUACUUUCACAAGUCUUUCUAUUAGGGGGAAUUGGUCAGACAGUGGUCGUCGUAGAUUUGCUCACUUGAGAGUUCAGGUGUUUGCUGCUUCUUGUUAGAUGAACCAAGUAGCUUUCGAUAUAGAUCACUUUCAACUACAGUGAUCUCUCUAAGAUUGUUUGUACCGGAUGUUUGGUUGCAGAGUGGAGCUCUAAUGGGUUGAGAGUUCUAAUUUCUUGUAUGAUCAAAAUCUUCACAAUUAAAAUUCUAUUGACAACCUGGUUGCAUGAUAAACAAGCCACAAUGCCACGUUCCUUUCUUGCACCACGAUGACGCGCAACUAACAAUCACUAUAAAAAGUCAAGCGAUGGAAAGAAAAAUGGCAGAAUUUGUUAAGAACAAAUAACAGAUCAUCGUCGAUAAUGGCGGCCCUGAAUUUUCAAGUGUCCAGACCGAGUUUAUUUCGUAGAGGAUUUAGAUAUAUAAGUAAAUUUUUGUAUAUUAAUGAGAUUUUAUAAC